CUGAUAUCAGGCCCCGAGUGUUUAAGGAGAUGUCUUUGUUCUGUUACAGCAGGCCCUCGAGGUGGUUUGUCAUCCCCUUUUCUGGAGGUCUUUGUCUGGGACUGUUUCUCAGGUGGGCAUUGCUGCCCUCAGUAGAAGAUGGGAGAGUGCUGCAUCUGAGAUGCUUCAUGCAUGAGAGAGGCAGAUGUGCAGCCUCUUCUUCUCUUCCCAUUUCUGAGGAGCUCAACACUGCAGGAUCAGAGAAUCAUGGAAUGGUUUAG
RNAcentral lists this long non-coding RNA (260 nucleotides) under Zonotrichia albicollis (white-throated sparrow). Its description in RNAcentral is "lncRNA (ENSZALG00000006345.1)". Lineage: Eukaryota; Metazoa; Chordata; Aves; Passeriformes; Passerellidae. The record is from RNAcentral.